AUAUAUAUAUAUAGUUGAGCUGAACUUGCUUCUGCUCUUGGUCUUGGGUGAAAUAGGAAGACCAAACUUUAUAAUAUAACACAAAUUGACGUUAUAUUGACGAAGUGCAUGGUAAGAAAAUAAUUAAACAAAUAUAACUUUUAAGAUAAGGUUGAGAGUUCAAAACUUUAUAAUAAAGGACAUAUGGUUAGAACAUAGACCAAGUGCAUGAGGUAAAUGGGGGUUUAGUUUUGCUUCUACAUUAUUAGGCUGUUAAAAGAGCUAGAGACAAAAUGAAGAUGGGGAUUUUUGUCUGUCUGAUGGCGAAGUUUUCUCUUAAUUUGCAUGGAUCUCUAUAUAUGGGCUUUAUUUACAGAGUCUGUGAAUGUCUGUGAAGGGGGAAGAAAGAGAUAUUUGGUAACUUUAAUUUGUUUGAAAACAAACUUAAUUUGCUGGCCUCCAAUUCAAAAGUAGUUUGGUGGAAUAUCAGCUAUAGGCACCUAAAAAUUAACUUCACCAACCAGGGGGACUUCUUUUUUUUGAAUUUCAAAUGGUUGUGACAUAAUACCAACAUGCAUAUAUACACCAUCUUCAAUUAAGAUUCAUGAUACACGAAUUGAAAGAUCAAUGUUUUUGCCUCAGCCAGCUUUUCCCUGUCUCUAAGACUUUGAAUUUAAUAUACCCACCACCUUUUUUGUUGUGGGGUUGUUGGCCAAUUCAAUGCAAUUCCUUUCUCUCUCUCCUCUCUCACUCUCAUUAAGAUCACGAGAUUCCCACAAGACAUCCCAAUUUACUCCAAAAGAAACAUAUCCCACCUCCUUCGCCUCUCUUGUUUCUUCUUCUGUUCCCCUGAGGCUAUUCAUUUUUGUCACAUGAUCAACCUCUCUUCGUAUGUCUGUGUUUCUUUUUGUGUUUCCAUGCGGGCCUAUAUAUAUAUACUCAUGUUCAGGGAUCAGUUUCUGUAAUCAGUCAGUAUAACAAAGAGCAUGAGAUGUUGGUACGGUUCAAUCUGAAAGCAGCACUCUCAGGCUAGAGCUCUGUUUUUUGAUUGAGCCGUGCCAAUAUCACAUGUAUUAUCACAACUACUGCUUCUCUUCAUCAGUCUACAACAUUAAUUUGAUCAAGACAUUCUUUUUUCUUCUUCUUCUUCUUCUUCUUCUUCUUUCUUUUUUUUUUUGUUUUUCUUGUUUUCAAGGCAUUUCGUUUUACAGAUUUUGCAGGGUGGACUUCAUGGAUAACAGGAUAAGGUUAGGAAUAAAUGUAAUUCAUCUGAACUUCUAGUUUUUCUUUUUUCCUUGCAGGCUGAGAGAAAAGCAUAUAUGCUCUUGUAAAAGCCUGUUUUUGCUAGGGUUUUAGUAACGUUAUCAACUACAUUAGUCAUUAGAGUUAUUCUGUUGGAUUUCCAUUUUCUUAAUUUUUGUGUGGAAAUGAAGGGUCAUGAUCAUGUACAACAAAGUGUUUGACUUUUGUGUUGUAAAUACUAGAUACUACGUAAGGACGGUUUUAAUUAGUUUACUUCUACGUAAAGGUUCACUGCCUUUUUUGACAAUGUGGUAUAUUGGUAGGUGACGAUAUUCGAUCUGUUCCUUGUUCUCAUCUUUAAACCUCUUAAAAAGAA
This 1597-nucleotide non-coding RNA is filed under the name Betula luminifera. The record is from RNAcentral. Lineage: Eukaryota; Viridiplantae; Streptophyta; Magnoliopsida; Fagales; Betulaceae.